Molecule: long non-coding RNA, 382 nt
Organism: Ahaetulla prasina
Lineage: Eukaryota; Metazoa; Chordata; Lepidosauria; Squamata; Colubridae
Exons: 3
Source: RefSeq, a predicted model, not a curated record
UGACCCCCUUCCUCAUUUCUCUACCAAGCACUUCUAGGCUCUAAAUUUGAACCUUUUUCCUGGAAAGCUGGACACUGAGAGCAAUUGAGUCAAGGCCAAAGCCCAGUUCUUCCAGCACCUAACAAGCCUGAAGGCAGCAGCCAUUAUAAUGCACAAUUGACAACAUGAGCUCUUCUACUACUGACAAAGCACAUGGCAAGCCCACAGGGAUUUUCAAAAUGAAAGUUAUUCUGACGAGGUUCCCUUCAUUCAAGGCUAUAUUCUCACCACAGAAAUUAUGACUGAAUUCGGUGUUCCAACUGAAAGGUUUACUGAAACAACAACCAAAAAUGCAACCCGAAAAGCCACCUUGUAAAUUGUGAAAAUUCUGAUGACAAGAAUA